RNAcentral lists this ribosomal RNA (253 nucleotides) under uncultured bacterium. Its description in RNAcentral is "partial 16S ribosomal RNA". It matches the Rfam family "Bacterial small subunit ribosomal RNA", at positions 524 to 776 of the family's 1533-position model. The record is from RNAcentral.
UACGUAGGUGGCGAGCGUUGUCCGGAUUUACUGGGCGUAAAGAGCGCGCAGGCGGUCGUUCAAGUCGCGUGUGAAAGCCCCCGGCUCAACUGGGGAGGGUCACGCGAUACUGAUCGACUCGAAGGCAGGAGAGGGUAGUGGAAUUCCCGGUGUAGUGGUGAAAUGCGUAGAUAUCGGGAGGAACACCAGUGGCGAAGGCGGGUCUCUGGACAGUUCCUGACGCUGAAGCACGAAGGCCAGGGGAGCAAACGGG